ACAGGUAGCCUAAAUACCUUAAAGACACUAUAUCCCAUCUGAUCAUGGAAGCUAAGCAAGGUCAGACCUGGUUAGUACAUGAAUGGGAGACGACCAGUGCCUACCAGGUGCAGUAGGCU
This 119-nucleotide ribosomal RNA is filed under the name Anolis carolinensis (green anole). Lineage: Eukaryota; Metazoa; Chordata; Lepidosauria; Squamata; Anolidae. The record is from RNAcentral.